Armigeres subalbatus is the source of this 545-nucleotide long non-coding RNA. RefSeq lists it as uncharacterized. NCBI's taxonomy places the organism in Eukaryota, Metazoa, Arthropoda, Insecta, Diptera, Culicidae. The record is from RefSeq and is a predicted model, not a curated record. The transcript is spliced from 3 exons.
UUGAUUUGAGUUUGUGUGUGUAAAUUUUCCAAAACAUAAAGCGAAAGCAAAACAUUUUCUGAGCGAGCUUAAAAACGUUAAAAAUUUCGUAAUUUCUAUUAUGAGGCGAUGACGAUCUCUGGCAGACCGGGAACAGAAUUAGUAUAUUGCCCACUGAAAUCCACGCAAAGUAACACACAACAGGGACAAAAAGAGAUUUUUCCAAACAUUGUCAGGAUUUCUUUCAACCUCCCGUGCGAGAGUUUUUGCGUCAGCUUAAGUUCCGCGGUAUAGCAUUACUGACUAAUAUACCCUACUCCUCUUGUUGUCCUCAGCGUUGGAUAGUAAGUACAGCGCAACUGUUAUUUGUGUUCCUGGCCAUCAGUAAAUAUGGAGCACGGUUCGAAACCUGUCAUCGUCGGAUCUACCAGAACAGUCCGAAGAAACAGCUCCCGAAAAAACAUAAUUGCAACCCGCUAUGCAUGUGAAAGAAUAUUUUUAUUAAUCAAGUUUGUUUAAUAAAAUGUGUCUCGGUUUACAAAGCUCUCUUUCUUUUAUGAUUCUUC